Molecule: ribosomal RNA, 451 nt
Filed under: Neoscytalidium dimidiatum
Lineage: Eukaryota; Fungi; Ascomycota; Dothideomycetes; Botryosphaeriales; Botryosphaeriaceae
Description: eukaryotic LSU rRNA
Rfam family: 5.8S ribosomal RNA (bases 119-272)
Source: RNAcentral
UUGGCGGGCCGCGGUCCUCCGCGGCCGCCCUCCGUCCGGGGGGUGGCCAGCGCCCGCCAGAGGACCAUCAAACUCCGGUCAGUGAACGUUGCCGUCUGAAAAACAAUCAAUAAACUAAAACUUUCAACAACGGAUCUCUUGGUUCUGGCAUCGAUGAAGAACGCAGCGAAAUGCGAUAAGUAAUGUGAAUUGCAGAAUUCAGUGAAUCAUCGAAUCUUUGAACGCACAUUGCGCCCCUCGGUAUUCCGAGGGGCAUGCCUGUUCGAGCGUCAUUACAACCCUCAAGCUCUGCUUGGUGUUGGGCACCGCCCUUCCGCGGGCGCGCCUCAAAGACCUCGGCGGUGGCGUCUUGCCUCGAGCGUAGUAGAAAACACCUCGCUUUGGAGCGCACGGCGCCGCCCGCCGGACGAACCUUUUGAACUUUCUCAAGGUUGACCUCGGAUCAGGUAGG